UUACUUACCUGGCAGGGAAAAUACCAUCAUGAUGAAGGUGGUUUUCUCAGGACAAGGCUCAUCCAUUGCCCUCCAGAUAUGCUGACCCCUGCUAUUUCCCCCAAACUUGGGAAACUCAAUGUUUGUGGUAGUGAGGGACCAUAUUUUCACUAA
Molecule: small nuclear RNA, 153 nt
Filed under: Saimiri boliviensis boliviensis (Bolivian squirrel monkey)
Lineage: Eukaryota; Metazoa; Chordata; Mammalia; Primates; Cebidae
Description: U1 spliceosomal RNA (ENSSBOG00000005777.1)
Rfam family: U1 spliceosomal RNA
About the family: U1 is a small nuclear RNA (snRNA) component of the spliceosome (involved in pre-mRNA splicing). Its 5' end forms complementary base pairs with the 5' splice junction, thus defining the 5' donor site of an intron. There are significant differences in sequence and secondary structure between metazoan and yeast U1 snRNAs, the latter being much longer (568 nucleotides as compared to 164 nucleotides in human).
Source: RNAcentral